Molecule: ribosomal RNA, 1034 nt
Filed under: uncultured soil eukaryote
Lineage: Eukaryota
Description: SSU rRNA
Rfam family: Eukaryotic small subunit ribosomal RNA
Source: RNAcentral
GAUCCUGCCAGUAGUCAUAUGCUUGUCUCAAAGAUUAAGCCAUGCAUGUCUAAGAAUAAACUCUUGAAUGGUGAAUCUGCGAAUGGCUCAUUAAAUCAGUUAUUGUUUAUUUGAUGGUACCUUACUACAUGGAUAACCGUAGUAAUUCUAGAGCUAAUACAUGCGUAAAGCCCCGUCAAGGGGUGCAUUUAUUAGAUUCAAACCAUCGGCUCUUCACGGGGUCUUUGAUGGUGAGUCAUAAUAACUGAGCGAAUCGAAUGGCCUUGUGCCGUCGAUGCUUCAUUCAAAUUUCUGCCCUAUCAGCUUUCGAUGGUAGGAUCUUGGCCUACCAUGGCUAUAACGGGUAACGGGGAAUUAGGGUUCGAUUCCGGAGAGGGAGCUUGAGAAACGGCUACCACAUCCAAGGAUGGCAGCAGGCGCGCAAAUUACCCAAUCCCGACACGGGGAGGUAGUGACAAUAAAUAACGAUGCUGGAUUAAAUUAAUCCGGCAAUUGGAAUGAGAGUAAUUUAAAUCAAUACUCGAGGAGCCAUUGGAGGGCAAGUCUGGUGCCAGCAGCCGCGGUAAUUCCAGCUCCAAUAGCGUAUAUUAAAGUUGUUGCAGUUAAAAAGCUCGUAGUCUGAAUCUUGGUCGGUGUUGAGCGUCCGUGGCUUUUUUGGUUACGUGCACGCGAUAUACAUCGGCUAUUUGUUUCCUUCGGAGGAACGUAGGUGCUUUUCAUUAAGUGCUUGCGGGAUUCCGAUAGUUUACUUUGAGAAAAAUAGAGUGUUCAAAGCAGGCGUUUUUGCCUUGAAUACAUUAGCAUGGGAUAAUAGAAUAGGACAUUGGUUCUAUUUUGAUGGUUUACGGACCGAUGUAAUGAUUAAUAGGAACAGUUGGGGACAUUCAUAUUCCAUGGCUAGAGGUGAAAUUCUUGGAUUCAUGGAAGAUGAACUACUGCGAAAGCAUUUGUCAAAGAUGUUUUCAUUGAUCAAGAACGAAAGUUAGGGGAGCAAAGACGAUCAGAUACCGUCGUAGUCUUAACCAUAAACGAUG